This 253-nucleotide ribosomal RNA is filed under the name uncultured bacterium. Its description in RNAcentral is "partial 16S ribosomal RNA". It matches the Rfam family "Bacterial small subunit ribosomal RNA", at positions 524 to 776 of the family's 1533-position model. The record is from RNAcentral.
UACGUAGGGUGCAGGCGUUAAUCGGAAUUACUGGGCGUAAAGCGUGCGCAGGCGGUUUGCUAAGACAGGUGUGAAAUGCCCGGGCUUAACCGGGGAACUGCGUCUGAUACUGGAUGGCUUGAGUUCGGGAGAGGGAUGCGGAAUUCCAGGUGUAGCGGUGAAAUGCGUAGAUAUCUGGAGGAACACCGGUGGCGAAGGCGGCAUCCUGGACCGACACUGACACUGAGGAGCGAAAGCCAGGGGAGCAAACGGG